UGGCCAUAUAGUGUUAAAAGAUUGGUUCCCAUAUGAUCACUGAAGUUAAGCAACAUUGAGUCUGGUCACUACCUAGAUGGGUGACCAUUUGGAAAUACCAGGUGCUGUAAG
Non-coding RNA from Acanthosepion pharaonis, 111 nucleotides. The record is from the annotation of a GenBank genome assembly. NCBI's taxonomy places the organism in Eukaryota, Metazoa, Mollusca, Cephalopoda, Sepiida, Sepiidae.